RNAcentral lists this long non-coding RNA (800 nucleotides) under Gopherus agassizii (Agassiz's desert tortoise). RNAcentral describes it as "lncRNA (ENSGAGG00000023295.1)". Lineage: Eukaryota; Metazoa; Chordata; Testudines; Testudinidae. The record is from RNAcentral.
CUCACACACACCCCAUCUUGUGGCACCUGCGGAGUAAUAAGAUGGCACGAAAGCCACAGCCUCCUCCCCAGCCCGCAAAAGGAGUGGACUAUGCAGAAAUUCCAGCCAGGCUGCUAAGAUACAUAUUUGUAUAAGAUUAGCUGCAUCUCCACUGCCAAGUGGGCGCCAAGGGACGUGUUGAUGCCUGCAGGAGCCUGGAAGAAAUGAACCGAUUCCCUGCUUGGAAUCAUCCCAAGAUCUUCCCGGCAUCAAAGCCAGCAGCAUUCCUCACCCCACUCAGCAAUGCUCCAGGAAUGCUGUGCAUUGCUCACAGGAGCUGGUUUUUAAUGAGUCGUCGCAUGGUUGAAUUGGUGGGUGAGGCCCAUCAGUGGGCAUUAGGUCUUGUUUCCUUGCCUUCUCCACAACAGCAGAAAUCGCCAGCUCGGGAAGAGGGAACCCAUAAAUAGCUGGAGGGUGAAUAGGAUCUGGAGCUUCUGGACGGCCAGGCUGCAUGCAGGACAGAGCCUGUCUUUGAAGGUGGCCUUUGUGUGGCUGAUGUCAAGGUGGCUGAUCGUGGGUCAGUAAAAGGCAGCUCUGGAUGGUCCUGGCAGGAAGCAGCCCCAGGCCCAACUGCAGGAGGCCUAUUGUCUCCACCUCCUCUGGUUGUUAACACUACAGGAAAGGAAGGGUGUUAUCUCUUUCUGCCCUUCCCCCUUUCAUAGCUGGGAAUGUUUCCCAUCCCUCCUCCACCCCAGGCUCAGCCACAAAAAAGGCCAUGACUCAUUCUCAUAGGUUCAGGAUGCUCAGCUGUCAUUGUGCCU